Molecule: transfer RNA, 67 nt
Filed under: Epinotia rubiginosana
Lineage: Eukaryota; Metazoa; Arthropoda; Insecta; Lepidoptera; Tortricidae
Description: tRNA-Glu
Source: RNAcentral
AUUUAUAUAGUUUAAUAAAACAUUACAUUUUCACUGUAAAAAUAAAAACUAUUUUUUUUUUAUAAAU